AUUGAACGCUGGCGGCAGGCCUAACACAUGCAAGUCGAGCGGAAGAAGGGAGCUUGCUCCUGGAUUCAGCGGCGGACGGGUGAGUAAUGCCUAGGAAUCUGCCUGGUAGUGGGGGAUAACGUCCGGAAACGGGCGCUAAUACCGCAUACGUCCUGAGGGAGAAAGUGGGGGAUCUUCGGACCUCACGCUAUCAGAUGAGCCUAGGUCGGAUUAGCUAGUUGGUGGGGUAAAGGCCUACCAAGGCGACGAUCCGUAACUGGUCUGAGAGGAUGAUCAGUCACACUGGAACUGAGACACGGUCCAGACUCCUACGGUAGGCAGCAGUGGGGAAUAUUAGACGAUGGGCGAGAGCCUGAUCCAGCCAUGCCGCGUGUGUGAAGAAGGUCUUCGGAUGGUAAAGCACUUUAAGUUGUGAGGAAGGGCAGUAAGUUAAUACCUUGCUGUUUUGACGUUACCAACAGAAUAAGCACCGGCUAACUUCGUG
Molecule: ribosomal RNA, 484 nt
Filed under: uncultured bacterium
Lineage: Bacteria
Description: partial 16S ribosomal RNA
Rfam family: Bacterial small subunit ribosomal RNA
Source: RNAcentral